CAAGGGGCCCUGCAUUUUCACUUUCCCUAGGCUCUGCAAAUUGUGUAGCCAGCCCUGCCUACAGGAGACAGGCAUCCUUCCCUCAAGACCUGAAGUUCAGGGCUGAAGCAUCUGACACUGAUAUAUGACCUUCCUUCAGAAUCCCCGGAACCUGCAUGUGAUUCUCCCACUGGAAAAUGCUAUAAUAUUCACAGUGAAGUUUCUCCUACCCUGUUACCUCCAACAUCAUAUCAUCUGACAGAACAUAUAGCCCCAGGGGCAAUGCUGAUUGAACACAGCCCAGAUCUCCCGAGAAGCCCUGUCCCAUUUAAAAUCGACACCCUCACAGCAAGAUCCUUCUUGACCCACCUCCUAGAGAAAUGGAAAUAAAAACAAAAAUAAACAAAUGGGACCUAAUGAAACUUAAUCUCCAAAAUUUACAAACAGCUCAUGCAGCUCAAUAUCAAAAAAACAAACAACCCAAUCCAAAAAUGGGCAGAAGACCUAAAUAGACAUUUCUCCAAAGUUGAUAUACA
Molecule: long non-coding RNA, 515 nt
Organism: Physeter macrocephalus (sperm whale)
Lineage: Eukaryota; Metazoa; Chordata; Mammalia; Artiodactyla; Physeteridae
Exons: 3
Source: RefSeq, a predicted model, not a curated record